This 513-nucleotide ribosomal RNA is filed under the name Triticum aestivum (bread wheat). RNAcentral describes it as "partial small subunit ribosomal RNA". The record is from RNAcentral. Lineage: Eukaryota; Viridiplantae; Streptophyta; Magnoliopsida; Poales; Poaceae.
AUGCUUGAUCAUGCUUCCGAUAACGGUCACCGCGCCCGUUUUAUGGAGAACGGAGUGAUGCUCCCCCCAUUGCGGAUGAGGGGCCACACGAAGGCUGUGCAGAUGCAGUACGACGAGCGCUACACUCCGUAUUUCAGGAGAGCAUGGAUGUUGGGUUUCGUUCUUCAGUUCAAAAGGCAGCCGUCGACGCUCGUGCACUCGGCUCUUACGGCAUUGAUCGACCGGUGGCGCCUCGAGACGCACAGUUUUCAUCUCACUUGUGGUGAGAUGACAGUGACUCUCGAGGACUUCGGCAUGAUCACGGCCCUGCCCAUCGAGGGCCAUGCUCUGACCGGGCGAGUGGAGAGGGCCAACUGGCAGGAGAGGGUGAUCGCCCUGAUUGGCGACUGCCCUCCCAUGAAGGGGAACAGAACAUCCGGUGUGCGGCUCAAGUGGCUCCUGGAGAACCUGGCACGAGAGAAGGUAUCGCAAAGACAGCGAGAGGAGAGUGGUUCACUGGGACACCUACUGUGA